This 99-nucleotide signal recognition particle RNA is filed under the name Spirochaetales bacterium. RNAcentral's name for it is "signal recognition particle sRNA small type". It matches the Rfam family "Bacterial small signal recognition particle RNA". From Rfam's summary of the family: The signal recognition particle (SRP) is a universally conserved ribonucleoprotein involved in the co-translational targeting of proteins to membranes. Archaeal SRP consists of a 7S RNA and homologues of the eukaryotic SRP19 and SRP54 proteins. RNAcentral also lists the same sequence under 1 other name. The record is from RNAcentral. Lineage: Bacteria; Pseudomonadati; Spirochaetota; Spirochaetia; Spirochaetales.
GGUUAGGCGCUGCGCUAUUGGCGUUCGCCCAACCCCGUCAGGACCGGAAGGUAGCAGCGGUAAGUGAAUUGCUAAUGAGCCGCAGAACGCUUAACCUCG